This 793-nucleotide ribosomal RNA is filed under the name Bacillus velezensis. RNAcentral describes it as "bacterial SSU rRNA". It matches the Rfam family "Bacterial small subunit ribosomal RNA", at positions 62 to 839 of the family's 1533-position model. The record is from RNAcentral. Lineage: Bacteria; Bacillati; Bacillota; Bacilli; Caryophanales; Bacillaceae.
UCGAGCGGACAUGGGAGCUUGCUCCCUGAUGUUAGCGGCGGACGGGUGAGUAACACGUGGGUAACCUGCCUGUAAGACUGGGAUAACUCCGGGAAACCGGGGCUAAUACCGGAUGGUUGUUUGAACCGCAUGGUUCAGACAUAAAAGGUGGCUUCGGCUACCACUUACAGAUGGACCCGCGGCGCAUUAGCUAGUUGGUGAGGUAACGGCUCACCAAGGCGACGAUGCGUAGCCGACCUGAGAGGGUGAUCGGCCACACUGGGACUGAGACACGGCCCAGACUCCUACGGGAGGCAGCAGUAGGGAAUCUUCCGCAAUGGACGAAAGUCUGACGGAGCAACGCCGCGUGAGUGAUGAAGGUUUUCGGAUCGUAAAGCUCUGUUGUUAGGGAAGAACAAGUGCCGUUCAAAUAGGGCGGCACCUUGACGGUACCUAACCAGAAAGCCACGGCUAACUACGUGCCAGCAGCCGCGGUAAUACGUAGGUGGCAAGCGUUGUCCGGAAUUAUUGGGCGUAAAGGGCUCGCAGGCGGUUUCUUAAGUCUGAUGUGAAAGCCCCCGGCUCAACCGGGGAGGGUCAUUGGAAACUGGGGAACUUGAGUGCAGAAGAGGAGAGUGGAAUUCCACGUGUAGCGGUGAAAUGCGUAGAGAUGUGGAGGAACACCAGUGGCGAAGGCGACUCUCUGGUCUGUAACUGACGCUGAGGAGCGAAAGCGUGGGGAGCGAACAGGAUUAGAUACCCUGGUAGUCCACGCCGUAAACGAUGAGUGCUAAGUGUUAGGGGGGUUUCCGCC